Molecule: ribosomal RNA, 253 nt
Filed under: uncultured bacterium
Lineage: Bacteria
Description: partial 16S ribosomal RNA
Rfam family: Bacterial small subunit ribosomal RNA
Source: RNAcentral
UACGGAAGGGGCAAGCGUUGUUCGGAAUCAUUGGGCGUAAGGGGCGCGUAGGUGGUUCUGUAUGUCUACCGUGAAAGCGUACGGCUCAACCGUAUUUUGUCGGUGGAAACUGCAGGACUUGAGGCUGGGAGGGGCUGGUGGAAUUCCCUGUGUAGCGGUGAAAUGCGUAGAGAUGGGGGAGAACACUCGUGGCGAAGGCGGCCAGCUAGACCAGUUCUGACACUGAGGCGCGAAAGCGUGGGGAGCAAACAGG